UGGCUCAGGACGAACGCUGGCGGCGUGCUUAACACAUGCAAGUCGAACGAGAAUUCGUGGAUAGAGGUUUCGGCCAAUUGAAGCGGAGGAAAGUGGCGGACGGGUGAGUAACGCGUGAGGAACCUGCCUUUCAGAGGGGGACAACAGUUGGAAACGACUGCUAAUACCGCAUGAUGCAUCGGAGUCGCAUGGCUCUUAUGCCAAAGAUUUAUCGCUGAAAGAUGGCCUCGCGUCUGAUUAGCUAGUUGGUGAGGUAACGGCCCACCAAGGCGACGAUCAGUAGCCGGACUGAGAGGUUGAACGGUCACAUUGGGACUGAGAUACGGCCCAGACUCCUACGGGAGGCAGCAGUGGGGAAUAUUGGGCAAUGGGCGCAAGCCUGACCCAGCAACGCCGCGUGAAGGAAGAAGGCUUUCGGGUUGUAAACUUCUUUUGUUGGGGACGAGUAGAAGACGGUACCUGACGAAUAAGCCACGGCUAACUACGUGCCAGCCGCCGC
Molecule: ribosomal RNA, 499 nt
Filed under: uncultured bacterium
Lineage: Bacteria
Description: bacterial SSU rRNA
Rfam family: Bacterial small subunit ribosomal RNA
Source: RNAcentral